RNAcentral lists this ribosomal RNA (400 nucleotides) under uncultured bacterium. RNAcentral's name for it is "bacterial SSU rRNA". It matches the Rfam family "Bacterial small subunit ribosomal RNA", at positions 975 to 1375 of the family's 1533-position model. The record is from RNAcentral.
CUACCCUUGACAUCGAGAGAACUUUCCAGAGAUGGAUUGGUGCCUUCGGGAACUCUCAGACAGGUGCUGCAUGGCUGUCGUCAGCUCGUGUUGUGAAAUGUUGGGUUAAGUCCCGUAACGAGCGCAACCCUUGUCCCUAUUUGCCAGCGAUUCGGUCGGGAACUCUAGGGAGACUGCCGGUGACAAACCGGAGGAAGGUGGGGACGACGUCAAGUCAUCAUGGCCCUUACGGCCAGGGCUACACACGUGCUACAAUGGCCGGUACAGAGGGCCGCAAACUCGCGAGAGUAAGCUAAUCCCUUAAAGCCGGUCCUAGUCCGGAUUGCAGUCUGCAACUCGACUGCAUGAAGCUGGAAUCGCUAGUAAUCGCGGAUCAGAAUGCCGCGGUGAAUUCGUUCCC